RNAcentral lists this long non-coding RNA (1017 nucleotides) under Phasianus colchicus (ring-necked pheasant). Its description in RNAcentral is "lncRNA (ENSPCLG00000012266.1)". Lineage: Eukaryota; Metazoa; Chordata; Aves; Galliformes; Phasianidae. The record is from RNAcentral.
GCACAAACGGGAGCAGUGUGAGCCAAUAGGGUCGGACUUGUCCGGGUUGCUUGGUGCCUGAAUACCACAGCCAUGAGAGCAGAGCUCGGUGGCAAACACACAGUAAUGGAGAGGCAAGGAGCUGAUGAUGCUUUGCUCUCAAAAACUCCUUGGGAAGAGGAGCUCAACCACCAAGCUGUCCUGACACACAGAGGUCACAAAUAACUUGGGGCCUGAUGCCCAGAGUGUCCCUGAAAGCAUUGCACUGCUACCAUUUUGAUACUUUUACUGAAAUUCCUCAAGAAAGACAUGGCAGAAAAAUCGUAUUGGUCAGCACUAUGCAGUCUCAGGAGGUGUAACCUCAUUGUUAAGUUUUGAAGGGAAACUUCUAUUCAGAGAUGUCCAUUUCCAUAGCAGGGAGUUCAGUGCUGUAAUCAUCUGCCCCAUCUGUGCUCCCUCUGGAUCUAUUAUAGCGUUUAGAAGCAUGUCUUCUUUUAUUGCUUCUUGUAUUUCUGGUGGAGGCAAAAGCUUAUGAAACCAUAGGGAUAGCUUUGAAAAUGAAGUAUUCUUUUGCAAUUGAUGCUAUAUAGUACACCUGAUCCAGUGGGUGUGUUUGAAAUAUUGCUGGGUAACUUUCCUUUCUUGAGUUAGUCAGUUUUAUGGUCCUAACCUCACAGCUUGUGGAAAUUCCUUCGUCGCUGGCUGGCAAGCUCAACUUUAGAUAAAACUGUGAGUGGGCAAAUCUGCACAUCGUGGAACUUAAUACCCUGUGUGCAGCCCAGCAGAUGGAGUCAACUUGCAUACAAACAUUUCAGCUUUCUUUAAAGAGAUGAGCAAGCAAGACCUGCAAGUAGUAAGGCCAGAAAUGUAUGAAUUCACGAGUUUUUUCUGUGCUAUAAAAGCUUAGCAUCUAAAUAGCAGAUUUCCUUUGCUUUUAAUAGGAAUUUUAGGACAUUUUCCAUCUCCUGUGAUCAUCUUGCCUAGCAUAGAAGUUUUAGCAGUUUUUUGCUUGAGUGGGGUCUUUCUGGUUCACAUUUU